GACGAACGCUGGCGGCGUGCUUAACACAUGCAAGUCGAACGGAAAGGCCCUGCUUUUGUGGGGUGCUCGAGUGGCGAACGGGUGAGUAACACGUGAGUAACCUGCCCUUGACUUUGGGAUAACUUCAGGAAACUGGGGCUAAUACCGGAUAGGAGCUCCUGCUGCAUGGUGGGGGUUGGAAAGUUUCGGCGGUUGGGGAUGGACUCGCGGCUUAUCAGCUUGUUGGUGGGGUAGUGGCUUACCAAGGCUUUGACGGGUAGCCGGCCUGAGAGGGUGACCGGGGACAUUGGGACUGAGGUACGGCGCAGACGCCUACGGGAGGCAGCAGUGGGGAAUAUUGCAGAAUGGGCGGAAGCCUGAUGCAGCAACGCCGCGUGCGGGAUGACGGCUUUCGGGUUGUAAACCGCUUUCGACUGUGACGAAGCGUGAGUGACGGUAAUGGGUAAAGAAGCAACGGCUAACUACGUG
RNAcentral lists this ribosomal RNA (468 nucleotides) under uncultured bacterium. Its description in RNAcentral is "partial 16S ribosomal RNA". It matches the Rfam family "Bacterial small subunit ribosomal RNA", at positions 28 to 507 of the family's 1533-position model. The record is from RNAcentral.